This 494-nucleotide ribosomal RNA is filed under the name uncultured bacterium. Its description in RNAcentral is "bacterial SSU rRNA". It matches the Rfam family "Bacterial small subunit ribosomal RNA", at positions 32 to 518 of the family's 1533-position model. The record is from RNAcentral.
AACGCUGGCGGCGUGCCUAAUACAUGCAAGUCGUACGAGGGAAGUCCAGCUUGCUGGACGGAACGAGUGGCGAACGGGUGAGUAAUACGUAAGCAACCUGCCUGCAAGGACUGGGAUAACACCUGGAAACGGGCGCUAAUACCGGAUAGGUAACAAAGGGGCAUCCCUAUGUUAUUAAAGGUUAGAAACACAAGCAGAUGGGCUUACGGUGCAUUAGCUAGUUGGUGAGGUAACGGCCCACCAAGGCGAUGAUGCAUAGCCGGCCUGAGAGGGUGAACGGCCACAUUGGGACUGAGACACGGCCCAGACUCCUACGGGAGGCAGCAGUAGGGAAUUUUCGGCAAUGGACGAAAGUCUGACCGAGCAACGCCCGCGUGAGUGAAGAAGGUUUUCGGAUUGUAAAGCUCUGUUGUAAGGGAAGAACAGCACGGAAAGAAUCCGUGAAUGACGGUACCUUACCAGAAAGCCACGGCUAACUACGUGCCAGCCGCCGC